This 63-nucleotide transfer RNA is filed under the name Cambaroides schrenckii. RNAcentral describes it as "tRNA-Cys". Lineage: Eukaryota; Metazoa; Arthropoda; Malacostraca; Decapoda; Cambaridae. The record is from RNAcentral.
GGUUUUAUAGUAAAUAAAAAACGUCAAAUUGCAAAUUUGAAAAUGUGUAAAACACUAAAACUU